GAAAGGAAGAGGGAGGCCAGAGAAAGAGAAGAGGAAGGAGAAAAAAAGAGUGGCCAGGCGGGAGAGGGAAGGAGAAGCCGAGAACUACUGACGCAAGGGGAAAAAGGGGAAGAAGAGAGAGGCGGAGCAGGAGAGCGAUGGAAACCGAGGUAAAAGGAAGAAGGAGGAAGAGGAAAUGACCCGAGGCACCGUGCGGCGAUGGAGACUGACGCGAACAAGGCGUGAAAAUCAUCAUUCCAAUCGUAAGCAAGCCAGGGAGCCGCAGAGUGGCCGAGAGUAAACUACUGGGAGCCAAACUGAGGCCAAAUCGGCCCAUGCCGGAAAGGAAAUUAGGACGUUCAAGUGGAUCUAGAAUGAUUGUUGCGUAGGAUUGUAAGUAUUUCUUAUUCUGAACCUGGAUUAGGAUUUUUAAAUUUUCAUGUAUUUUAUUAAUUUAUGUGUAUUUUAAAAUUUAAACGAAUACUAACCCGAUUUUUGAAGAAGAACAGAACUCGAACCUAUAAACCAGUGAACCUAAACUAUUGAAAAUUAUGAGGAGACAGAAACUAGAAAACAAACCUAAAGAUUGAGAAAUACUUGG
This is a non-coding RNA of Carica papaya (papaya), 580 nucleotides long. Lineage: Eukaryota; Viridiplantae; Streptophyta; Magnoliopsida; Brassicales; Caricaceae. The record is from RefSeq and is a predicted model, not a curated record.